UUUAAUUGAUUAGAAUAACUCUAUGGAAAAUGGUUGAGCUACAGACAUUUAUUAACUAAGAGGAACAAAUUACAAUGGUGUUAAAUGGACAUUUCAGGAGCCAGACUGACUAGCGCCCCCCCACCCCUGCCCCCCCAAAAUAAAGCCUUUCAUUCCUCUGACCAGCAGUGAUCUUAAGGAGUAUUUCAUUUCUUUCAUAUGCUGAGUAGUGGUUUUCUGAUUGAUGUUCUUUUCUAUGCUACUACAGAUUCUCAUUGAAUUCUCUAUUGUUUCUUCUUCCAGGAUCAUGUGGCAUAUAAGACAGCAGCACUUGCCAUAAGGCAGUGAGCAUAUUUAAUUUGAGCUAUAUCCUAAGCUUCUUUCAAAGAUGAGUCUCAGGAGAGUCUACCUUUGUCUGACAAAUUACCCACAGGACAAGAUAAUUGGUCUAGCAAAUAGAACUGACAGUACAGAGACAGAACAGAGGUAAACUUCAGCUUAUUCCAUUUUCAGACAAUUCUAAUUGCUAUGAAUUUCUUUCUUAUACAGAUUUGAAAUCUGCCUCCUUGUAACUUCAAUCUGUUCUUCCUACUUUUGUCUCCCAGGAUCAAGAAAAGCAAAUCUAAUCUCCUUCAUGACUUUCAGAUCCUUGAAGACAGUUAUCUCUCCCCUCUUUGGCAGGGGCCCCUAGAACAUCUGCACAGUACCCAUAAUACCCACUGAUGUCAGAGUCUGCCAAAGGACUGAGGUCACUCCCCAUGAAGCCCUCAGAAGUAGACAGCUGAAUAAUAUCACAACAAACGAAUCAGAAAUACUCCAAGUUGACUCUGAGUCCAAUGUUUGUUUUUUAUUUAUACCACUGGGAGAACAGAGAGUUUCUCUUCUUGUUGAGGAGACUGUUUAAAGGGUAUAAACCCCCCAAGUAUUUGAGAGAAGUUUCAUUUGAAAAGCUACAUUGAAGAAAAUCAAGGAGGAAAGGGUGAGGUGAAUGAGGAAAGAAGAAAGGAAAGAUGCUGAUGUAGAGAAAAUUUCAGGAAUGGAGAAAAAGAACUCAAUGAAAAUGAACUCAAAAACAUAAUAAAACAAAUGACAAAUAUUUGAGGGGAUGUGGG
Molecule: long non-coding RNA, 1091 nt
Filed under: Monodelphis domestica (gray short-tailed opossum)
Lineage: Eukaryota; Metazoa; Chordata; Mammalia; Didelphimorphia; Didelphidae
Description: lncRNA (ENSMODG00000038521.1)
Source: RNAcentral